GUGCUCAUUUCGGUAGCACAUAUGCUAAAACUGGAACAAAACAGAGAAGAUUAACAUGGUCCUUGCACAAGGAUGAAGCAUCCCAUAUUUUU
This 92-nucleotide small nuclear RNA is filed under the name Neotoma lepida (desert woodrat). The record is from RNAcentral. Lineage: Eukaryota; Metazoa; Chordata; Mammalia; Rodentia; Cricetidae.